GACGAACGCUGGCGGCGUGCUUAACACAUGCAAGUCGAACGGAAAGGCCCUGCUUGCAGGGUACUCGAGUGGCGAACGGGUGAGUAACACGUGGGUGAUCUGCCCUGCACUUCGGGAUAAGCUUGGGAAACUGGGUCUAAUACCGGAUAGGACCGCACUUUAGUGUGUGUGGUGGAAAGUUUUUUCGGUGUAGGAUGAGCUCGCGGCCUAUCAGCUUGUUGGUGGGGUAAUGGCCUACCAAGGCGGCGACGGGUAGCCGGCCUGAGAGGGUGUACGGCCACAUUGGGACUGAGAUACGGCCCAGACUCCUACGGGAGGCAGCAGUGGGGAAUAUUGCACAAUGGGCGCAAGCCUGAUGCAGCGACGCCGCGUGGGGGAUGAAGGCCUUCGGGUUGUAAACUCCUUUCGCUAGGGACGAAGCUUUGUUGUGACGGUACCUAGAGAAGAAGCACCGGCUAACUACGUG
This 466-nucleotide ribosomal RNA is filed under the name uncultured bacterium. RNAcentral's name for it is "partial 16S ribosomal RNA". It matches the Rfam family "Bacterial small subunit ribosomal RNA", at positions 28 to 507 of the family's 1533-position model. The record is from RNAcentral.